UGAAGUCCUUAAAUAUUCCCAAGGGAGUACGUCGGGUGCUUUUCAGAACACUCAACACUGACAGGAAGCUUAUGUUUAAAAAUCAGUUCGAUACAAGCUAUGUAGGAUUCACAAAGGAUGGAGCACAAUGGUUGGUGGAGAACACUGACAUCAAGAUGGUUGGAAUUGAUUAUUUAUCUGUUGCCGCCUGGACUGAUUUGAUUCCAUCUCAUCUCGUCUUUCUAAAGAGCAGGGAAAUCAUUCUUGUAGAAGCCUUAAAACUUGAUAACGUUCAACCUGGAAUAUAUUCUGUCCACUGCUUACCUCUAAGGUUGCUUGGUGCUGAGGGAUCCCCAAUAAGAUGCAUUCUCAUCAAAUAAUUAUUUUUUUCAGUGCACAAUAUGUCCUUAGGAGUCAAAAGCAGAAUAAGACGGUGUAAAAUGAGACUGUAAAUGAUCAUAAGGAGGGAUGCUGUUUAAACAUGUUUUUAUGGUGUGUUUGCCCUCAUUACAUAAACUUAUUUGAGAAUUAUCUUAAACUAGUCAUUUGCCUUUGCCUGUACGAUGUGUCAGUUUUAAAAUUUA
This 563-nucleotide unclassified non-coding RNA is filed under the name Hevea brasiliensis (rubber tree). The record is from RNAcentral. Lineage: Eukaryota; Viridiplantae; Streptophyta; Magnoliopsida; Malpighiales; Euphorbiaceae.